UACGGGGGGGGCAAGCGUUGUUCGGAAUUACUGGGCGUAAAGGGCUCGUAGGCGGCCAACUAAGUCGGAUGUGAAAUCCCCAGGCUUAACCUGGGAACUGCAUCCGAUACUGGAUGGCUUGAAUCCGGGAGAGGGAUGCAGAAUUCCAGGUGUAGCGGUGAAAUGCGUAGAUAUCUGGAGGAAUACCGGUGGCGAAAGCGGCAUCCUGGACCGGCAUUGACGCUGAGGAGCGAAAGCUAGGGGAGCAAACGGG
Molecule: ribosomal RNA, 253 nt
Filed under: uncultured bacterium
Lineage: Bacteria
Description: partial 16S ribosomal RNA
Rfam family: Bacterial small subunit ribosomal RNA
Source: RNAcentral